GAUUCCCCUAGUAACGGCGAGUGAAGCGGGAAGAGCUCAAAUUUAAAAUCUGGCAGUGAAUUCUGUCCGAGUUGUAGUCUAGAGAAGCAUCAUCCGUGCUGGACCAUGUACAAGUCUCUUGGAACAGAGCGUCAUAGAGGGUGAGAAUCCCGUCCUUGACAUGGACUCCCAGUACUUUGUGUUGUGCUCUCAACGAGUCGAGUUGUUUGGGAAUGCAGCUCAAAAUGGGUGGUAAAUUCCAUCUAAAGCUAAAUAUUGGCGAGAGACCGAUAGCGAACAAGUACCGUGAGGGAAAGAUGAAAAGCACUUUGGAGAGAGAGUUAAACAGUACGUGAAAUUGUUGAAAUGGAAACGCUUGAAGUCAGUCGCGUUCUCUGGGAUUCAGCCUUGCUUCUGCUUGGUGCAUUUCCUAGUCUACGGGCCAGCAUGAGUUUUGACCGGUGGAAAAAGAUUUGGGGAAUGUGGCACCUUCGGGUGUGUUAUAGCCCCUUGUCACAUACACUGGUUGGGAUUGAGGUCUUAGUGCACGCUUCGGUUGUGCUUUGAUGCUGGCGUAAUGGCUUUAAACGACCCGUCUUGAAACACGGACCAAGGAGUCUAACAUGUCUGCGAGUGUUUGGGUGUAAAACCCGAGCGCGAAAUGAAAGUGAUAGUUGGGAACCUCUUUAGAGGGGCACCGACGCCCGGACCAGACCUUCUGUGACGGAUCCGAGGUAGAGCAUAUAUGUUGGGACCCGAAAGAUGGUGAACUAUGCCUGCAUAGGGUGAAGCCAGAGGAAACUCUGGUGGAGGCUCGUAGCGAUUCUGACGUGCAAAUCGAUCGUC
RNAcentral lists this ribosomal RNA (825 nucleotides) under Rhizoctonia solani. RNAcentral describes it as "partial large subunit ribosomal RNA". It matches the Rfam family "Eukaryotic large subunit ribosomal RNA", at positions 73 to 906 of the family's 3401-position model. Lineage: Eukaryota; Fungi; Basidiomycota; Agaricomycetes; Cantharellales; Ceratobasidiaceae. The record is from RNAcentral.